This is a long non-coding RNA of Pseudopipra pipra, 2702 nucleotides long. RefSeq lists it as uncharacterized. The transcript has 6 exons. The record is from RefSeq and is a predicted model, not a curated record. NCBI's taxonomy places the organism in Eukaryota, Metazoa, Chordata, Aves, Passeriformes, Pipridae.
ACUUGAGAUUAUUGAGAGCUCUCAGCUAGAGUUGUUCUGCUGUGCACAGCUCCUUCUUCUUCCACAGCGGAGGUGUCAAGUAUUUGAUUGCCAACCAAGGAUCCCCACCCUCCCUUUGCCCAGGUACAUCUCAGGUUCAGCAGCCCACAUGCAGAAGUGAGGCACCAGGACAAAUACCAGUAGCUGGGAUAAAGCCUGCAGGACACAUCCCACAGUCUGGGAAAGGCCACAAGCAUCAAUGGAAACACUCUGGCUGGAGAUAAGUGGCAGCUUCAGCUUUUAUGUUGCUCUGAAGAACAGGCACAGGAGGCACAGUGGAGGGAAGGGAGGUUUCUCCUGGCUUUGCUGUUGAACAGUGUGUUGGUUUUCUUGGAACCUGCAUCUGCAUCCAGCACCAUCGAGAAAAGGCAGUGCCUGGAAUGCGGGUGCAUCGCGCAGACGGCAGCAGGAGCGCGGCUGCGCCGGGUCCGCAGGACAUCCACACACACCUCGGCUCUGCUGCCAGCUCCCGGCCCGGGGGCAGAAUCCCUGGAGCAUCCCCGUACCUCUGUUGCCCUCCCAUCUUCUGUGCGUGAUCACAAGAGCUUUGAAGCAAAGCUUGUUCCAUCGUUACUGCUGGUGAACCAAACUUUGUCAGCAAUGACGAGGGGCACUCAACCUAAAAUAUCUCCAGAUACCUGCAAACAUUUAGGAAACCCCUGAGUUACAGUGUGAGCAAUGAGAAACAAAGAGAGAGCCCAGUGCUCAGCAGGAAGCAUGAGGAGGACCUUGCUUUGAUUGGGUCAUGUGGACAGUCUUCUGGCUGUGACACCCCAAUGUUCAGAAACUGAGAUUACCAAUUCUGGUCCUAUUUAAGACUGGGGAGAAAAUGCAAAAUUCUGAAAUGUUUGCAAGGUUGGAAAACAGCUUUCCACUAAGUUCUCCUCGGAUGAGAUUGCAGAAAUUCUUCUGUUUUCUUCUUCCUGCCUGGCUCUGUUACCAAGCAAUUCUGUUCACACUGUUCUCCAAGACAAAAUCUGAGCCAGACUGAGAUUUGUGUUGAUGGAUCCCUUGGGGUCAAGAUGAAUUUGAACCAAAGCACUGGAGGAAGGAAUAAAUAUAAACAGAACUGAGACAAAAAUGGAGAAAUGUUCUUCACACUUCUAGAAACUCCUGGGUGGAAAAAAAAAUUAGAAUUCAAUCAACAAAGGAAUGUGAAGAAGAGCAAAAGAAUGGUUCCAGAGGUGACUCUUCCCUGUCCAAGAGGCAGCAGGUGGGAAAAAGUGAAACUGCCUGUCCAAAAGCUCAAUAGUUGGCCUGCAGAAUAUUAUCAGCUUCUUCUUAACAUAGAGACCAGUCAUGAAGAAGAGCAGGAUUCCUGUAUUACUGGACUGUGAGAACAUUUCCAGAGUGAACAUUUAGACCCAGGUCUUAUGUUGACAUGGAUUUGGUCAAAGCAAUAAGUCAAGCAUUUUGAAGAAUAUGUAAAUGCAUUUUAGAAUUGUAGUCAAAAUGAUAAAUAUCUAAUUUUCAUAGGUCAGGAAACCUGAGCUCUAGCACUUAAUUACCUUCCAAAUAAAAGGAAAAUAGUGAUUGAUUGUUAUGGCAGAUUGUUCUGCUAAGUCAGUGUUUGGCCUCUGUUUUCUUCACUUUUGUCAUGUAUCAAAUGGAUGGUCUGUCAUUCUUCUCCAAAAGGGGGAAAGUGAUUAUUGUGUAAAGCCCAAAGGAGCUCUGUAUACAGGCAAGCUAAAAUAUGCUGCAAGUCGGGACACUUUCUCACCUGAGCAUACACUCUGUUUCCAAAACAAACACUGGCAUAACUGUAUUUGCUCAGUUUGUGCAGUUUUCCUUCAAAGUAUUUCAUGCUUCUUUUUUGUACUAGUCUUCUUGGACCAGUUCCCACUGACUGAAUCCAUGGAAGGCACCACCUUCUACUGGUCCUUACUGUGGGUAUUGGCAGGCACAGACUUCCUUGCAUCACUUUGGUUGCUCUGUGCCUCAGUUUACUCCUCCACUAAUGUAAGUUCUACUCUGACUCUUCCACAGUGCUUUUAUUCUUGGGACCUCAGAGCAAUUUUCUUUGCUAUCCUCUCUCAGACAGUCAAACCAUUACUAAAUCAGACACUUACCAUUUUUCCCUUCUCAAAGAUAAAAUGAUAGUAAUUCCUUUGCUCAUUAAAGUGUAAAUGGAGAGGAAUCCUGUUGAGUUCAGUGAUACUAUGAGAUGUAAAAGCACUGCAUGAGGUCAGAAUCUUCCCAUGUGAGUUACAAGUGCAAAAAACAGUGAGUAAAAAGCUUGAAUGGGUCAAGGAUCCCACUCCUGGGAACAACAGAGGGAAGAAAUAGAAGUAGCACCUGGAAAAUGCUGCUCUCAUCAAGAGAGGCCUCCUCCCCUGCAAAUAUCUGCUAACUCUAAUAUUAAACAAAUAGAAAUUUAUCCAUUAUGUGGAAUCAUCUUUUGCUUUUUUUCACAGAGACACUCGUAGAAGAGCUUGGACUUUAUUUUUCAUAAUAAUUUUUAAACAUAACUCUUGUUCUACCAGGAAAUUGUCAUUUCUUCAGCCAAGAACAUCUCAUCUGGAGUCUGAGGAGGGCUGGCAUUCUUUGUAACAGUGUGCAAAGACAGCCUAAACAUCUUAGCCUUCCCAGGCUGGAUCCAGCUCUGCUUUCAGCAAACCCCUUGGAUGCUCUUACUUGUCCUCCUGGCUGCAUGUGCUCCCAUA